AAGUCACUGAUUUCUUUAGU
This 20-nucleotide microRNA is filed under the name Drosophila pseudoobscura pseudoobscura. RNAcentral's name for it is "mir-2549-RA". Lineage: Eukaryota; Metazoa; Arthropoda; Insecta; Diptera; Drosophilidae. The record is from RNAcentral.